UCGGGUUGUAAAGCACUUUUGUCCGGAAAGAAAACUUCGGGGCUAAUACCUCUGGAGGAUGACGGUACCGGAAGAAUAAGCACCGGCUAACUACGUGCCAGCAGCGCGGUAAUCGUAGGGUGCGAGCGUUAAUCGGAAUUACUGGGCGUAAAGCGUGCGCAGGCGGUCUGUUAAGACAGAUGUGAAAUCCCCGGGCUUAACCUGGGAACUGCAUUUGUGACUGGCAGGCUAGAGUAUGGCAGAGGGGGGUAGAAUUCCACGUGUAGCAGUGAAAUGCGUAGAGAUGUGGAGGAAUACCGAUGGCGAAGGCAGCCCCCUGGGCCAAUACUGACGCUCAUGCACGAAAGCGUGGGGAGCAAACAGGAUUAGAUACCCUGGUAGUCCACGCCCUAAACGAUGUCAACUAGUUGUUGGGGAUUCAUUUCCUUAGUAACGUAGCUAACGCGUGAAGUUGACCGCCUGGGGAGUACGGUCGCAAGAUUAAAACUCAAAGGAAUUGACGGGGACCCGCACAAGCGGUGGAUGAAUGUGGAUUAAUUCGAUGCAACGCGAAAAACCUUACCUACCCUUGACAUGGUCGGAACCCUGGUG
RNAcentral lists this ribosomal RNA (591 nucleotides) under uncultured Burkholderia sp. RNAcentral's name for it is "bacterial SSU rRNA". It matches the Rfam family "Bacterial small subunit ribosomal RNA", at positions 418 to 1003 of the family's 1533-position model. The record is from RNAcentral. Lineage: Bacteria; Pseudomonadati; Pseudomonadota; Betaproteobacteria; Burkholderiales; Burkholderiaceae.